Molecule: ribosomal RNA, 429 nt
Filed under: Verrucomicrobiota bacterium
Lineage: Bacteria; Pseudomonadati; Verrucomicrobiota
Description: Verrucomicrobia bacterium partial 16S ribosomal RNA
Rfam family: Bacterial small subunit ribosomal RNA
Source: RNAcentral
UAGGGAAUCUUCGGCAAUGGGGGGAACCCUGACCGAGCAACGCCGCGUGAGUGAAGAAGGUUUUCGGAUCGUAAAGCUCUGUUGUUAAGGAAGAACGAGUGUGAGAAUGGAAAGUUCAUGCUGUGACGGUACUUAACCAGAAAGGGACGGCUAACUACGUGCCAGCAGCCGCGGUAAUACGUAGGUCCCGAGCGUUGUCCGGAUUUAUUGGGCGUAAAGCGAGCGCAGGCGGUUAGAAAAGUCUGAAGUGAAAGGCAGUGGCUCAACCAUUGUAGGCUUUGGAAACUGUUUAACUUGAGUGCAGAAGGGGAGAGUGGAAUUCCAAGUGUAGCGGUGAAAUGCGUAGAUAUAUGGAGGAACACCGGUGGCGAAAGCGGCUCUCUGGUCUGUAACUGACGCUGAGGCUCGAAAGCGUGGGGAGCGAACAGG